This 103-nucleotide small nuclear RNA is filed under the name Macaca nemestrina (pig-tailed macaque). Lineage: Eukaryota; Metazoa; Chordata; Mammalia; Primates; Cercopithecidae. The record is from RNAcentral.
CCUCCCUUCCGGCAGCACUAUAUACUAAUGGAAUGAUACGGAAAGUUUAGCAUGGGCCCCUGCAAAGCAUGACAUGCAAAUUUGUGGAAGCAGUCAUAUUUUU